This is a long non-coding RNA of Coregonus clupeaformis (lake whitefish), 199 nucleotides long. RefSeq lists it as uncharacterized. Lineage: Eukaryota; Metazoa; Chordata; Actinopteri; Salmoniformes; Salmonidae. The record is from RefSeq and is a predicted model, not a curated record. The transcript has 3 exons.
CUCCACUGGUUUACACUACAGCGUGGACUGCAGUUGUAAGGCAUAUGCAAGGAGUCAGGAAACAGAUGUAGAAGGCAUCUGUUUUCGUAUUACAUUGAAGAUCAGAUGAUCAUUGUGAGGCUCUGCAGCGUCAGCUAAAAUUGAAAUAUGAGCAACAAGAAAAAUAAGACUAGUGCUCCAGAGAUGAACAACCAGCUCC